RNAcentral lists this ribosomal RNA (253 nucleotides) under uncultured prokaryote. Its description in RNAcentral is "partial 16S ribosomal RNA". It matches the Rfam family "Bacterial small subunit ribosomal RNA", at positions 525 to 777 of the family's 1533-position model. The record is from RNAcentral.
ACGAAGGGUGCAAGCGUUAAUCGGAAUUACUGGGCGUAAAGCGUGCGUAGGUGGCCUGUUAAGUCGGAUGUGAAAGCCCCGGGCUCAACCUGGGAAUGGCAUCCGAUACUGGCGAGCUAGAGUGUGUCAGAGGAUGGUGGAAUUCCCGGUGUAGCGGUGAAAUGCGUGGAGAUCGGGAGGAACAUCAGUGGCGAAGGCGGCCAUCUGGGACAACACUGACGCUGAAGCACGAAAGCGUGGGGAGCAAACAGGA